GCUGGCCUGCACCACCGCUCACAGCAACACCAGAUCCUUAACCCACCAAGCGAGGCCAGGGAUCGAACUUGCGUCAUAAUGGAUGCUGGCCAGUUUCAUUCACUGCUGAGCUACAGCGGGAACUCCUGUUGACAUUUUUUGUAACAAAACGGGUGUGGAAAUUUUUUUCACCACAUCCACAGCAUGUGGAAUCCAUUUCCAGGCCCAGGAUUGAACACGUGCCACGGCAGCCACAACACCAUAUCCUUAACCUGAUGCAUCACAAGGGAGCUCCCGGGUGUGGGGUUUGGUCAAAUGUUUUCCUGCAUCCAUUGAGAUUAUUGUGUGGGUUUUGUCCUUUAUUUGAUGGUUUAUUGUUAAUUGAUUUUUAGAUGUUGAACCAACUUUGUAUUCCUGUGAUACAUCCCACCUACGGAAGUUCCCAGGCCAGGGAUUGAACCUGAGCCACAGCAGGAUCAGUCCUUAACCUGCUGCGCCACAAGGGAGCUCGUGGUACUGACAUUUGAAGGAUUUUGUGCUCAUGAAGGACACCGGUCGCUGGCUCUCCGUUUGGGAUCAGGCUCACACCAGCCUCACACAAGGAUUAUUAGAACAGACAUCAGAGGAAAGAAAAAUAAGUGCUUGUAGAGCUGGAGAAGUCAAGCUUCUGGCCUAAGACCACUUGCUGACAAAGAAAAUUCCUUGAACUGCGGAACGGGAGGAAGGAUGGAGAAGGCAGCAAGGGCCUGAUGGGCUGGACCCCCCCCCGGGGCCCCAGCUGGGCUCGAAGCCCAGGGCAGAAGUGGUCCUGGCCUCUGCUGCGCGCUGACGGUUCCGAGGGACAGUGGAGCAGGUGCGCGUGCCCGGGGGCAGCAUGGGAGCAGGACCAGCCUUGCCUUCCUCUCUGGAUCCGCGGCGCCUGCACGGCGCUCCCAGAGCCACUGAGACCCACUUACUCCCCGGGCCUCGCUGCUGCCCCAACGCAGAACCAGUGUCCCCAGAAGUGGACGGUCCAGGUAAAGCCUCUUCCCCUGUGGUUGUGCGGACAGAUGAGGGAUGGGAGUUUCAGAUGCCGGCAGGAGCCGGGGGUCACGCAGCACUGCGAAUGCACGAAACACCACCGAGUUUCACUGUACACUGGGUGAAUCUCAUCUCAGCUUCAAUAAAAAGUAAGUGAAGAGUCUCAGUGGUAACAGGCCGUCACUGCUGAGAGCUGAGCUGGAGGAAAAUAACCUCCCCGGGCCCGCACAGGACUCACGCAGGGCGGGGAGACGGCCGCAGGAACACAGCGAGGACCCAGGGCUCCGGCUGCCGGAAGCAAGACCACCACCCGCGGGCAGGGCCAGAGGGUCCCAGGGAGUGACCAGAGCGCAGCUUGGUGAGGGACGGAGCCUCCCCCCAGCAGACAGGGCGUCUGCAUGGCUCGCCCCUCCGUCCCGCCUCCUCGUCUGACCCGUCUUCGCCACCAGGACAGACAGCAACUCCAGGCGCCCCCCCACCCCCGCGUCCCCACCGCAUCUCGGUAUCUGCCCCCCCCACCCCACCCCCCGUCAGCGUUCAGAUGCUGGUAACCCACCCGUGGGGUCAGGAGUGGGGCCCGCAGGAGGCUCAGCAAGUGUCCCCGCACACCUGACCCGGGAGUGAUUCAGAGGCAAGAGCAGCAGGAAACAAAGACCAUGGCCUCUGGGGACAAAGCCGCGACCAUCAGACCUUGUCCCCACUUGCCGGGGUGGGGGAGACACGAGUAUUUACCACAGCCCCGGCCACACCACACCUGAGCUCUCACUCGCGGCGCCCCCUGGGGGCCGUCCCCAGAAGACCCACCUGUGACCAGAGGGCGGGGCAUCCAGGGAGAGGCUGGUGCGCCCCAGGGGCGACGCGGUGACGCCCCAGACCACCACGCCAGGGCUCGCAGAGGGGGCCCCACAUUCCAGGGCAGGCGCCCGCCCGCCCUGUGCUCAUCUUCCUUGGCUGUUCCUGGCGUGUUGCCUUUACAGGAAAACUCAACUCCUGAGGGAGUCUGAGGCGAAGGCAGUCUUGACGGGGGACCAGAGAGCCAAGCUGAUGAAUCCGCCGCAUGGUCAUAAACCGCAACUCCUCAGCCCCGUCCAGGGGUCAGCACUCCAUCCCCGUCCUGACACCAAAGCCCAGGCCUCACACCUAAGAGCAGAGUACCAGCUCCCGCUCCAUGAGGGCCAGCAGCAGCCCUGCCUGGAAGGGAACCGUCCCAGAGCUGUCGGAACGGGAAGGGGGGCCAGACGUACCGACCAAAGGUAGAGCCACCAAGCAGCUCUGGACCCCAGACGCUCCUCGCAUGGCCAGCAGUGCGGGGGGGACAGUAGGUGUCCGUUUCCCGGACACUAUCACAAUGAGCACAGUCAUACGAACCGUGAGCCCAAGUGUGAAAAAAUGAAAAAAACAAUGCAUGAAAUUAUAGGAAGACAUCAGAGCGGGAAAGAAUCGUUAAACAGGACACACCAGCAUUUACCAUGAAGGCAAAAAAUUUUAAAAAAGGCAGUGAACCACGUUCAUAAUGUCUUUACCGAGACACCAGAGGGUGAAGCCAGCAACAAAUGAGAACCAAAGAAAUCGCAGAGUACGCAGCCCGGCCUGCGACUGACGACAGUAAGGAAGAAGGAGCUCCCGCUGCGGCUCAGCGGCUAGUGAACCCAACGAGCAUCCAUGAGGACGUGGGUUCAAUCCCUGGCCUCGCUCAGUGGGUUAAGGACCUGGCGUUGCCGUGAGCUGUGGUGCAGGUCGCAGAUGUGGCU
Phacochoerus africanus (Common warthog) is the source of this 2750-nucleotide long non-coding RNA. RefSeq lists it as uncharacterized. Lineage: Eukaryota; Metazoa; Chordata; Mammalia; Artiodactyla; Suidae. The record is from RefSeq and is a predicted model, not a curated record. The transcript has 3 exons.